Molecule: ribosomal RNA, 432 nt
Filed under: uncultured bacterium
Lineage: Bacteria
Description: partial 16S ribosomal RNA
Rfam family: Bacterial small subunit ribosomal RNA
Source: RNAcentral
AGCGAACGCUGGCGGCAGGCCUAACACAUGCGAGUCGAACGAACCUUUCGGGGUUAGUGGCGGACGGGUGAGUAACACGUGGGAACGUGCCUUUAGGUUCGGAAUAACUCAGGGAAACUUGUGCUAAUACCGAAUGUGCCCUUCGGGGGAAAGAUUAAUCGCCUUUAGAGCGGCCCGCGUCUGAUUAGCUAGUUGGUUGAGGUAAUGGCUCACCAAGGCGACGAUCAGUAGCUGGUCUGAGAGGAUGAUCAGCCACAUUGGGACUGAGACACGGCCCAAACUCCUACGGGAGGCAGCAGUGGGGAAUCUUGCGCAAUGGGCGAAAGCCUGACGCAGCCAUGCCGCGUGAAUGAUGAAGGUCUUAGGAUUGUAAAAUUCUUUCACCGGGGACGAUAAUGACGGUACCCGGAGAAGAAGCCCCGGCUAACUUCG